This 1287-nucleotide ribosomal RNA is filed under the name metagenome. Its description in RNAcentral is "bacterial SSU rRNA". It matches the Rfam family "Bacterial small subunit ribosomal RNA", at positions 242 to 1520 of the family's 1533-position model. The record is from RNAcentral.
UAGCUAGUUGGUGAGGUAAAGGCUUACCAAGGCGACGAUCUGUAGCGGGUCUGAGAGGAUGAUCCGCCACACUGGAACUGAGACACGGUCCAGACUCCUACGGGAGGCAGCAGUGGGGAAUUUUGGACAAUGGGGGCAACCCUGAUCCAGCCAUGCCGCGUGAGUGAAGAAGGCCUUCGGGUUGUAAAGCUCUUUCGGCCGGGAAGAAAUCGCAUGGGUCAAUACCCUGUGUGGAUGACGGUACCGGAAUAAGAAGCACCGGCUAACUACGUGCCAGCAGCCGCGGUAAUACGUAGGGUGCGAGCGUUAAUCGGAAUUACUGGGCGUAAAGCGUGCGCAGGCGGUUUUGUAAGACAGGCGUGAAAUCCCCGGGCUUAACCUGGGAACUGCGUUUGUGACUGCAAGGCUAGAGUACGGCAGAGGGGGGUGGAAUUCCACGUGUAGCAGUGAAAUGCGUAGAGAUGUGGAGGAACACCAAUGGCGAAGGCAGCCCCCUGGGUCGAUACUGACGCUCAUGCACGAAAGCGUGGGUAGCAAACAGGAUUAGAUACCCUGGUAGUCCACGCCCUAAACUAUGUCAACUAGGUGUUGGGUGGGUAAAACCAUUUAGUACCGUAGCUAACGCGUGAAGUUGACCGCCUGGGGAGUACGGCCGCAAGGUUAAAACUCAAAGGAAUUGACGGGGACCCGCACAAGCGGUGGAUGAUGUGGGUUAAUUCGAUGCAACGCGAAAAACCUUACCUACCCUUGACAUGCCAGGAACUUGCCAGAGAUGGCUUGGUGCCCGAAAGGGAGCCUGGACACAGGUGCUGCAUGGCUGUCGUCAGCUCGUGUCGUGAGAUGUUGGGUUAAGUCCCGCAACGAGCGCAACCCUUGUCGUUAAUUGCCAUCAUUUGGUUGGGCACUUUAACGAGACUGCCGGUGACAAACCGGAGGAAGGUGGGGAUGACGUCAAGUCCUCAUGGCCCUUAUGGGUAGGGCUUCACACGUCAUACAAUGGUCGGUACAAAGGGUUGCCAAGCCGCGAGGCGGAGCCAAUCCCAGAAAGCCGAUCGUAGUCCGGAUUGCAGGCUGCAACUCGCCUGCAUGAAGUCGGAAUCGCUAGUAAUCGUGGAUCAGCAUGUCACGGUGAAUACGUUCCCGGGUCUUGUACACACCGCCCGUCACACCAUGGGAGCGGGUUCCGCCAGAAGUAGGUAGCCUAACCGCAAGGGGGGCGCUUACCACGGCGGGGUUCGUGACUGGGGUGAAGUCGAAACAAGGUAGCCGUAGGGGAACCUGCGGCUG